GCCCGUGGCUCAAUGGUAGAGCAUUCGACUCACAUACCAAAGGUCGCGGGUUCAAAUCCCAGUUGUGGCA
Molecule: non-coding RNA, 70 nt
Organism: Schistocephalus solidus
Lineage: Eukaryota; Metazoa; Platyhelminthes; Cestoda; Diphyllobothriidea; Diphyllobothriidae
Source: Rfam